UACGGAAGGUCCGGGCGUUAUCCGGAUUUAUUGGGUUUAAAGGGAGCGUAGGCCGCGUUUUAAGCGUGUUGUGAAAUGUAGACGCCCAACGUCUGCAUCGCAGCGCGAACUGGGACGCUUGAGUACGCGCAACGUUGGCGGAAUUCGUCGUGUAGCGGUGAAAUGCUUAGAUAUGACGAGGAACUCCGAUUGCGAAGGCAGCUGACGGGAGCGGCACUGACGCUUAAGCUCGAAGGUGCGGGUAUCAAACAGGAUUAGAUACCCUAGUAGUCC
This 273-nucleotide ribosomal RNA is filed under the name uncultured Prevotella sp. RNAcentral describes it as "partial 16S ribosomal RNA". It matches the Rfam family "Bacterial small subunit ribosomal RNA", at positions 524 to 796 of the family's 1533-position model. The record is from RNAcentral. Lineage: Bacteria; Pseudomonadati; Bacteroidota; Bacteroidia; Bacteroidales; Prevotellaceae.